UCAACACCACGAGGGCUCGACCUCGCUGGCACCAACCGCGAAUCGCCGAGCCCCUAGAUCCCCAAAGUCUCACCGCCUCUUUGUGAUUUCCGGCGACCACGGCAGCCAUGUCCGCCGAUCUGCCACCUCCCUUCCCCCAUAUGGUAAGUAUUAAAUGUUUGACUAUUUUAAAUAUAGAAUGAUUAUUACUCCCUCCGUCCACGAAAUGAGUACUCAUAUUUCCAUUUUCGUCCGUCCACGAAAUGAGUACCCAUUUCCCUUUUUGGCAAGUGUACCCCACACAACACUUUAAUUAAUACACUCAAAAAGGUGGGACCUCUAUUCUAUUCACACUACACUAAAUACAUUUCUUAAAACCCGUGCCGUCCACAAAUGGGUACUCAUUUCGUGGACGGAGGGAGUAUUUUAGAAAGAACAAAUUUUGGAAAGAUUUUUAACAAUGGAAACAUAAACCCUAGAUUUUUAUGUUAAUUAAUUUUCGGUAGCUGCAAAUUAUGUAAAUAUAGAAUGGCAAUAAACUUUAGAAAGAAUUUUUUUUGGAAACAAUUUUAUCAAAGGAAACUUAAACCCUAGAUUUUCAUCUAUAAAUUCAUUAAUUUGAAUUAUUAAAGAUGCAGCAGACGCAAGGUAACCUUCUUCUUCUUCUUCUUCUUCUUUUGUUGUCUUUCUUUUGUUUUGCAUUAACGCCGCAAUACCUCCUUCUUCUUUUUCUUCUUUUUUCCAGAUUUUUGGUUUAGAGGAUUAAGGGAUUGCUUACUUCCCUUAUUUUGGCGGGUGGCGGCUGGAAAUUUUUUAGACAUUAUCAUAGACAAACAGGAAGAAAUUAUCAUUAUAUGACCAAGGUUUGUGAUUUGAUAAAGAUCAUCGAUUCAUCACUCAAAUAAAUAUGAAUAAUUGUGCAGGGAAAACAUAGCUGAUAAUGCUAAUCUUGAUUGUUUUGUAUAUAAUUGAGGUGGCUUGAUCUUGAUGGGUUGGUGCUAUGAAGAAUCAAAUUAACUGAUUAUAGUUUAAAUUUCUUUUUAUGGAGUAAAUCAAUAUUUGAUUUAACAAAUUUAAACAUGAUCACAACCUUUUUAAACAUGAUCCUCUUUCGGCAUUGAACACCAGAUGAUCGUAUGGGAAUCAAUGAUUGCAUUCGAAUGAUGUAUUUUCAUUCACAUGAAUUGUUUUUGGAUAGAGGCUAGGAAGAGCCCUAAGUCAUUGUUUACUUUUUUUUCCCCUUGCUUUUUUCAUUCUUUCUUAUUAGAGACGAUUGGUAUUCAUUUAAUUGUUUCUUUGUAUGUUUUCUUGUGUUGCAGGAUUUUUUGUUUCCCAGUUCUCUAUCACAAUCUCUGUUUGCAUGACUGAAGUAAGUGUUGAUUCUCUGGUUAGUCCCGAAAAAGAUAAAUUGAACGAUGGGAAAAUAAAUGAUAAAAUGAAGGUUCUGCUGGGAAUCAGGAUUCUCUGAGUAAUGGGCUAUGAAAAUUUUAUUGCGGUAUGUCUGCAUUUCUUGGUAAACAAUGAAGUUUAGAUAUUAUAAUCUGUGGAUAGUUUGGAUUCAUUGGGAUAUUUAUGCUAUAGUAGGAAGUAUGGAUUUUUCUGAUAUCUUUCUUAUAAAAUUAUGCAUCUGUUUAUGGUUUGAAAGAUUUGAUGUGUGCAAAUCCUUGAAUGAGUCUUAAAUUUUAGAUUAGUCUUUAUGUUUCUAAUAGUUUUUACAUGUUUUUUUGGCUUAUAUGUUUGAGAAAAUUGUUGCAUUACCUGCAGAGAAACAACUUUUUGGAAGAGGGAUUUGAGUUCUGUUUCGAAGUCAUUAAAAUCCAGAUGGUGUUUGUUCAGGAUUCAAGAUUUGUUGAAGGAUGGUGAUGAGGGGUUGAAGAUUGUAGGCCAUUUUUCUGUUCACUCACAAAGGAUAGGAAAAUUUGUAGCAACAAUGAUCCAAUCUGUAUAGCUAGGUAGUUGUAGUAUUGACUUUGAGCAAAUUAAACAAAACUGUUAUUAUAAAAUAUUGAUUAGGUUGUAGUUUGAACUAUAUGCCUUGAAUCCGUCCUAGAUUCAAUUAACACUAAAUUAUUUAUCUAAAUUAUUCUCUUUUUAGAGAGGUAUUUAAAUUA
This 2090-nucleotide long non-coding RNA is filed under the name Salvia miltiorrhiza (redroot sage). Its description in RNAcentral is "long non-coding RNA (SMIL_LNC006936)". Lineage: Eukaryota; Viridiplantae; Streptophyta; Magnoliopsida; Lamiales; Lamiaceae. The record is from RNAcentral.